Molecule: ribosomal RNA, 137 nt
Filed under: uncultured eukaryote
Lineage: Eukaryota
Description: partial 18S ribosomal RNA
Rfam family: Eukaryotic small subunit ribosomal RNA
Source: RNAcentral
UGGUGGGGUGACUUGUCUGCUUAAUUGCGAUAACGAACGAGACCUUAACCUGCUAAAUAGCCCGCAUUGCUCCGGCAGUGCGCUGGCUUCUUGGAGGGACUUUCGGCUCAAGCCGAAGGAAGUUUGAGGCAAUAACA